AGCGAACGCUGGCGGCAGGCCUAACACAUGCAAGUCGAACGAACCUUUCGGGGUUAGUGGCGGACGGGUGAGUAACACGUGGGAACGUGCCUUUAGGUUCGGAAUAACUCAGGGAAACUUGUGCUAAUACCGAAUGUGCCCUUCGGGGGAAAGAUUAAUCGCCUUUAGAGCGGCCCGCGUCUGAUUAGCUAGUUGGUUGAGGUAAUGGCUCACCAAGGCGACGAUCAGUAGCUGGUCUGAGAGGAUGAUCAGCCACAUUGGGACUGAGACACGGCCCAAACUCCUACGGGAGGCAGCAGUGGGGAAUCUUGCGCAAUGGGCGAAAGCCUGACGCAGCCAUGCCGCGUGAAUGAUGAAGGUCUUAGGAUUGUAAAAUUCUUUCACUGGGGACGAUAAUGACGGUACCCGGAGAAGAAGCCCCGGCUAACUUCGUG
This 434-nucleotide ribosomal RNA is filed under the name uncultured bacterium. Its description in RNAcentral is "partial 16S ribosomal RNA". It matches the Rfam family "Bacterial small subunit ribosomal RNA", at positions 29 to 507 of the family's 1533-position model. The record is from RNAcentral.